Alligator mississippiensis (American alligator) is the source of this 5314-nucleotide long non-coding RNA. RefSeq lists it as uncharacterized. The record is from RefSeq and is a predicted model, not a curated record. The transcript has 2 exons. Lineage: Eukaryota; Metazoa; Chordata; Crocodylia; Alligatoridae.
CGGGGGUUACAAGAAACAAUGGCCACAAGCUAGCAGAGAGCAGAUUUAGACUGGACAUUAGGAAGAACUUCUUCACAGUUCGAGUGGCCAAGGUCUGGAACGGGCUCCCAAGGGAGGUGGUGCUCUCCCCUACCCUGGGGAUCUUCAAGAGGAGGUUAGAUGAGUAUCUAGCUGGGGUCAUCUAGACCCAGCACUCUUUCCUGCUUAUGCAGGGGGUCGGACUCGAUGAUCUAUUGAGGUCCCUUCCGACCCUAACAUCUAUGAAUCUAUGAAACUUUUCAGCUGAACCAUUGAAACAAGCAAUAUUGGUGUUUGUAGGCCCAGAUAUUUUAGGAAUAAUGAGAAGUCUUAUAUCAAAACAAUAAUUUGGGCGUUUUUUUAUGGCUGCCCACUCAGUUGUUUCUCUUCCCCUCCCCAUACUAUGUGUGUGUAUGUGUGCAUGCAAGUGUAGAUGUACACACUCAAACCCACAUACACUCUUGCGCACAUUUAUAACAUAAAGUCAAUUCCAAAAUGUAACUGAAUGACUAAUGUUAAUUGCUGAGUCUGAGGUGGUCUCAGAUGUCUCUUAUUUCAUGUGCUGUCCAUGUCUGAUUCUCCUCUACAUAUUGCCCUAUGGCGACGUUGUUAUUAUACUGUGCUUUAGCACUGCCUUUUGGAAGUAGUACUUUUGGAAGUACUAAAGCACAGUGCAGUAACCAGUGACUGGUUGCAUCCUGAGGGACAGCCAGCAUGGAUUUGUUGCAGGUGGGUCUUGCCUGAUCAAUCCCAUCUCCUUCUAUGACCAGGUGACAUAUCACCUGGACAAAGGAGAAGAGAUUGACAUCAUAUAUCUGGACUUUAAAAAAGCCUUUGAUCUGGUGUCCCAUGAUCUCCUCAUGGGAAAUUUGGCACACUGCAACCUUGGCUACAUCACAGUCUGAUGGCUGGGGAAUUGGCUCCGAGGUCAGACUCAGAAAGUGGUAAUCAACAGAAGUGAAUCAUCAUGGUGUUCUGUGACCAGUAGUGUCCCUCAAAGCUCCAUCCUUGGGCCUGUACUCUUUAACAUCUUUAUUAACAAUGUGGACCUUGGUGUCAGAAGCGGAUUGACCAAGUUCUCUGAUGACACCAAACUUUGGGGUGAAGUAUCCAUAGGAUAGGUUGGUGAUCCAAGCCAACCUUGACAGGCUUAGAAAAUAGGUGGAUAAAAGCUGAUUACAUUCAGUACAGAAAAAUGCAAGGUACUCCACCUCAGGAGAAAAAACCCACAUCAUGCUCCACAGCAGAAAGGGACUUGGGAGUCAUGAUUGACCCCAAAAUGAACAUGAGCCACCAAUGCGAUGUCAUAGCUGGUAAAGCAAACAAAACUCUGGCUUGCAUCCAUAGAUGCUUCUCAAGCAAAUCUCAAGAUGUCAUCCUCCUGCUGUACUCGGCCUUGGUGAGGCCACAGCUGGAGUACUGCAUCCAAUUCUGGACUCCACAAUUUAAAAAGGAUGAGGAAAAGCUUGAGAGAGUCCAGAGGAGAGCCACGUGCAUGAUCAGAGGGCAAGAGAAUAGGCCUUAAGAUGAGAGGCUAAGAGCCAUGGGCAUGGGUGACUGGUGCCUCUUGAGUCAGGGGGGGCAUGUGCCUCCUGGAAUAGACUGCCUCUAGAGGUGGUGCAAGCACCUACUCUCGACUCUUUUAAAAAUAUUUGGACAGCUAUCUUGCUGGGAUCCUUUGACCCUAGCUGACUUCCUGCCCCUGGGGCAAAGGGCUGGACUCGAUGAUCUUCCAAGGUCCCUUCCAGCCCUAAUGUCUAUGAAAUUUAUUAAAUCUAUGAAACCACCCCAUACUGUGCUGUAUUUGUAGCACAUGGUUAUUUUUAGCCACUACUUUGCCAUAGCGGCACACUAUAAUGGGGGAGUGCAUCAGUAUGGCAAAGUAGCUGUCUGUCGUGUAGAUGCACGUGAUCACUACAGUGCCAUAGCACAUCACUACAUUCCGUAGUGUGAUGUGUAGACACGCCCUUAUAGAGUUAACAGAGAUGCUGUACCAUUAUUGGGAUUUUCAUAUUGGCUCACCAAGACACUAAAUUCAUACUGCUCUUUUCUAGGAAUAUAUAUCCAACCCAGAAUUAUAUAUAAUUCCAAACAUCAAUACCAGGGUAAAUUUCUAAACAAAUCUUUUUUUCUGUUUACUACUCCCCAGGCCCCCACAAUAAUGUAGUAAAGUAGUAACAUCCCAAAUAAGUUCCACCUGAAAUCAGAUGCAUAAUACAAAAUUUGAGGGAGAAUGGUGGUGACUUCUUUUUGAUGGUCUUAGAGGAGCAGAAGUUUGAAAAUAGGGUUUGUACAGAGAAGUCAAUAUGGGGUGACUACUGCAGUUCAUAAUUCAGGAGGAAUGGUGACACUGACUGUAUGCAAACAGUUUUCAAAACAAACAAUUAAAAAAUUGUUUCACUGAUCUUUCACAUACAGUAAUCCUGGGAAUAGUAAGGAAAUUUUUCAGAAGACGUGAUCGUAUUUCUUAAGGACAAAAGGAGUACAGUAGAGUAUUAUAAUAGUAUAUAAUAUAUUGAAUAUAUUAAAACACAUUAAGUUCAUACUGCUCUUUUCUGCGUCAACCUAACUUCCAUAAUAACAUCCUCAUUUCUGGUCACUCAAAUGCCAUGCUUCAUUAGCAAUAAACCACUCUAGGAUAUGCAUGGUUAGUAUGUUACUGUCACAACUCUCCUAACAGGUUGAAAGGACUUUGUCCUCAGCCUCAUGCCUUUCUAAACGUGGGAGAUAUGCAUCAGUGACCUAAUGAACAACCAGCUGUGGGCCUCUUCAUUAGCAAAGAGUGCCUGAAAAGGGGUAUGUUAAUACAUAUCAUCAAUUUUAUACUUGAUUGUAAUAGAAAUCUGAAGUGACUGAGUCUUACUGGACCUGGAACAAGUGGCUGGUAAUCCCAUCCCUCACUACUUGAUAGAAUGUUUAUAUUGGCGCUGCUAAUAAUAGUAAUAUAAAACCCAACCUAAGAGUAAUAUUUCUCUCUUCACCCACUGAACAAAGAUAAGUAAUUUAACUGAAAGGGUGGUAUGCAUUAGAGAUGUACUUACUGCUUGGGUGGAAGGCUAAAAUUAGUUCUGAAUUUAGUUCUGAACAUGAUGUUAGCCUUAUCUCAUUAAACAUUAGAGUAAAGAGACUAAACUGCUCUCUGUAUUCAGUAGAGAACUAGCAAGAUUCUGACUCUGGGGAAAUGCAUUUAUAGUAGUGUGCAAUAUUUAUGUUUAUGCAAUGACAUUUUGUACUAGCUAGACCUUUUCAGAGCAGUCUUCCUUCGUAGAUAAGAGUUGUACUAAACCAGACCUGGAGGUCAUAAAUGCAUGAAUCACUAUAGCAAGACCUCUAUCUGGUAAACUCAAGUGCAAUCUCCUGCCAGGCCCCAAACAGAAAUAGCUAUGCUAGCAAAAGCCAACUAUUUGGUGUCCAAUAGCAGGGAAGAGUCCAUAGCUGUGAAGUGGCUUAAUGGGAAGAAAAAUGCUCUUGAUAGUAAGAGAUAUUCUCAAAGAAGCAAAUAAUUCAGUGUGUUUUCCUUUUUCACCUCAGUCUGGCACGUGCUCUUUACCCACUGUCCUGUCUUAACUCAGCAUUAGGAAAAAUAAUGCUAUUUUAUGGAGAAAAGUACUAGGAGCAGGAUGCCAUACUGCUGUUGAUUUCAUCCAUAUUAUCUUGCUACCUCUCCCAGUUACUUUACAUACAUAUGUAAACUACAUGGAUAAAAUGCAGAGAAGACAAAGUCUUGUAGGAUUUCACAACAGAGGGUUCUGGAGGGAGAAUUACAUUUAUACAAAAAUAACCUUCUCUGAUUGGUCUAACAGGUCCAGUAUCAUUACUUGCCUUUCUGAUUCAUUGUUAUUCCACUGUGUUAAGGAACCUAAAUCUUUUCAACUUAUUUGUGAACUAUGACUCACUGUUAGGUCGUUGUUUCAUUAGACUGAAGUAAUGCAAACUGAUUACACAAGUGCAAAUGCAGCUUGCAAAUGUAAUCUCUCCAUUUUGUGCUGGAUUUAAUGAAAUGUAUUUCACCCCAGCCUUUUAAAAAUGUAUUCCAUUUAAUUGCCUCCAAUCAGUUAAGAAAUCUGCUAGCUUGGAAAUCCAGUUGCAAAAAAGAGCAUCCUCCAUAAGUAAUGGUCAUAAAAAAUCUGAAGAAAUACCAUUUUUAAAAAGUAAGAUUGAUCCAUUAACAAAGAAAUAUCACAGUUCAAUUUUUUAAAUCCUGCAUACAGCAAAUAUCUACAAUAAGAGAUUUGAGAUGUACAGUGGAGACAUUUAAGGUCACCACAAGGUCGAAUGAAAGAGGAAGUGGGGCAAAGCAAAUAAAUGGCACCAUUGAGUUAAUAGGGCUCCACAGAUGGGGGGAGACGCACCUCCAGGUAUUCCUCCCUAAUAGAACAAUUCUAAUUGAGUUCAUGUGCCAUCCCCAGAAACUUAAUCAGUGUAUCUUUCUUGGGUGUGCUUCUUGCAAAUUCUUAUCUCCUCUGCUCAUGCACAGAGCUCUGUGCAACAAAAAGGGACUCCAUUUGGCUUGCAAGAAGUCAGCUCAUUAGUAGAAGAACUCUGUGCUUGGUUUGCAGACAGGAAUGUAUUGCAAAAUUCUCCAAGCGCAUUGAGCUUCCUGUGGUAGCACUCCCUCGUUCCUCAGUCACUGCUUGACUCCAUUUGAUAUGGAAACAAGCACUUGAAUUGCUAUACAUUUUCUUGCGGCAGGUUUUCCACCCUCCUGACUAGGGUCCAAGUUCCAGACCCAUCUCAGACAAGGGAGGGUCACUAACUACAGCUUCCCAAGUGACAGCUCAAACUGCACUAUAUUUAGGGUCGAGAAGGAUUUUUACCCCCUGGUCAGGCAGGGGGGGUGCACUCCCUCCCAGCCCUUCUCUAGGAUAGCCAGCAUUCUCUUGGGCAGCCUGCAGGCAUGUUCCUGGCAAUACUGGAAAGAGAAAAUGAAACUACAUUUCUGGCUGUUUGAAGGCUUAAACCGGUGAGGACAGACCCCACCCAAGCCCUGUGGACUACUGAUUCAGCAGGUCCAUCGUUCCCUCGCGUUCCAGCUGCUGGCUCCCCAUCGUGACAAGCCUCCUAACCUACACAGUGCCUUCAUACAGCAGGAUUCCCACCACUGAUACUAGAGGCGAACAGGAGCAGGAAGGGGACAAGCGCCUAACACUGACCCCCCACAAGACUAGGGUUGCCAACCCUCCAGGAUUGCCCUGGAGUCUCCAGGAAUUAGACAUAAAUCUGCAAGAGACUUCUGAGAGUCACCUGGAUCAAUGAUACGGCAUUCAUUAAAAUAAGUAUUAAAAGUUUAAUCUGA